RNAcentral lists this transfer RNA (57 nucleotides) under Drosophila camargoi. Its description in RNAcentral is "tRNA-Arg". The record is from RNAcentral. Lineage: Eukaryota; Metazoa; Arthropoda; Insecta; Diptera; Drosophilidae.
GAAUAUGAAGCGAUUUAUUGCAAUUAGUUUCGACCUAAUUUUAGGUAACUUACCCUU